RNAcentral lists this transfer RNA (73 nucleotides) under Podarcis lilfordi (Lilford's wall lizard). It matches the Rfam family "tRNA". Rfam says of the family: Transfer RNA (tRNA) molecules are approximately 80 nucleotides in length. Their secondary structure includes four short double-helical elements and three loops (D, anti-codon, and T loops). The record is from Rfam by way of RNAcentral. Lineage: Eukaryota; Metazoa; Chordata; Lepidosauria; Squamata; Lacertidae.
GCUGGGAUAGCUCAGUCAGUAGAGCAGGAGACUCUUAAUCUCAGGGUUGUGGGUUCAAGCCCCAUGUUGGGCA